AGAACUACGUGGUAUAAUUUUUGAUAUGCUGUUGUACUCAGUCACUGUAGUUAGUUGAAAGUUAUUCACUGUGAAAGUGUACAAGAUAUUAAGAGGAAUAGACAGAGUGGACAGCCAGCACCUCUUCCCCAGGGCACCACUGCUCAGUACAAGAGGACAUGGCUUUAAGGUCAAAUGAAUGGAAUCACUGUUCCCACUCCAACCCACCUUGGCUUAACUUUGAAGGGCUCCUCCUCAUCUUGUCAAUGUGUCACCAUUGGGCUCAAUGGAACCCAAUGUUGGCAUACAUAACCCUCUGACAAUUAAGGUUCUCAGUAAAACCCUGGAAAGCAUGGAACUCUUCCCACUUCUCAGUCACCAUCUCUGCAAAAUUAAGGUUCAACAUUCCCUUCUGUGCAUUAUAAUAGAUUUUAGUCAUGUGAAGAAACAGAUGUUUGAAGAUUUAAAACCUCAACCUGGUACAAAACUCCUGGUUCAUUGGACAACUGUGAUUCUUCCUAUACCAAAAGUUUCAGAAAGUAGUUUGACAUUAAAGACACCGGAAAACAACACCAAUGCUCUCUCUGCAAAAACCAGCAAAACCAUUGGCAACAUAAACAAACCAACAUGAGCAUCCUCUCCUAUACCAAUGUCCUUGGAAAUGAGAGUUUAAACAUACAUUUUCAACUUUGCUGAGCAACAGACAUGGCAACUGCCAAUUCUAGCCCAGGGCAAGCAAAAAGGAAAAAUGGCAUAGACUGAAAUUAAAGUACCUCCAUACCCCUUUAAAAGGAAAAUAUGGAAAAAUAUUCUGAUGGCAAUCUGCUUACUUAUAAUUGAAUAAACUUGGAUCUUAACACCUUUGUAAAAUUUAAGAAGUUUGCAUGGAAUAAUACAUGCACACAGAUGUCAGAAGUCCAUAAAUCUAAUAUUGAUAAUCUGCUUUUACAUCCUAAGGUGCCCAGGGAAUGUAAUCAUACUUGUCCCAAAAGAGCCAGUGAACAAGUAGAGUUCUUUGUUCUUGCCAAAAUCACCCAUGGGUAUUGUAUUUUAGUUUCUAUUGGACCCAGGAAUCUUACUUAAUGCACACAAAACAAUGUUUACCAACUCCUCUAUUAGUAUCUGGCCUGAAGUCUAUAUCAAAGCUGUCUAUGACAUUUAAUCUGCUUGUAUGGAUUCUUUGUACACUUGCUGCAUAAUAGUGCAGUGCAGUAACAGUGGGAAAAAAUAUCUCAUUUCCUGAAACUCAGAAGACAAAAGUGUGAGACAGAAAGAUGAACUUGACACACCAUCAAGAAGGCAAGUCCUUCAAAAUCAAAUGACAAUAAACAAAAAUUCUAUCAGCUCAUAUGAUGAUUAUAUUUAUUUCCUAUGCAUAGAAUAUUUUUCAGAAUUCAUUUAAUGAGUUGAAGGUCACUGUUGUGAUUUCUUGUUAAGAUUUAGCUUCAUGCAUUUUCUCUGUAAACUGCUUCAACAACGUAGUAUAAUUAUUACUGUUCCAAUUAGAUUUAAAGUAAUGAAUAGGUUCCUAUUCAUAGAUUAUUUUAAUAAACAGAAAUUAUGAAAUCUCACAAUACACACAAAAUUCUGAAGAAACUCCCUUCUAUGAAGGGGAAUAAACAAUCAAUGUUUUGGACAA
This is a long non-coding RNA of Hypanus sabinus (Atlantic stingray), 1618 nucleotides long. RefSeq lists it as uncharacterized. NCBI's taxonomy places the organism in Eukaryota, Metazoa, Chordata, Chondrichthyes, Myliobatiformes, Dasyatidae. The record is from RefSeq and is a predicted model, not a curated record. The transcript has 3 exons.